RNAcentral lists this long non-coding RNA (698 nucleotides) under Panax ginseng (ginseng). RNAcentral describes it as "long non-coding RNA (PGIN_LNC003959)". Lineage: Eukaryota; Viridiplantae; Streptophyta; Magnoliopsida; Apiales; Araliaceae. The record is from RNAcentral.
AUUGACUGAGAAGGGUAUUCUGCCCUAUUGGUCUUCGGGAUUAUGGUCGAAGCAGAGUAGAUGAAGACCCAACAGCCAUUUUCCUGAUCGAUUGACUGAGAAGGGUAUUCUGCCCUAUUGGUCUUCGGGAUUAUGGUCGAAGCAGAGUAGAUGAAGACCCAACAACCAUUUUCCUGAUUGAUUUGACUGAGAAGGGUAUUCUGCCCUAUUGGUCUUCGGGAUUAUGGUCGAAGCAGAGUAGAUGAAGACCCAAUAGCCAUUUUCCUGAUUGAUUUACUGAGAAUGGUAUUCCGCCCUAUUGGUCUUCGGGAUUAUGGUCGAAGCAGAGUAGAUGAAGACCCAAUAGCCAUUUUCCUGAUUGAUUUACUGAGAAGGGUAUUCCGCCCUAUUGGUCUUUGGGAUUAUGGUCGCAGCAAACGAAGGCUCACCACAGUGACAGAAAGUUUCACCGAAGUAGAUCCAGAAAUCACACUCCCGAGAGUCCAUUAAGGGCACACCGCUCUGUGGGCACUUGUCUUCGGGGAAAUCCAUCUAAGGUUGCAGCACUAGAUGGAAAGCAGCUGAGGAGUCCGACAAAGCCGUUGCAGUUCUUCAGCAGAAGCAGAGUUCGUGGAUAUUGCAUGCAGAUGGAUAUUCUAUUUCGGACAUCAGUAUAGCAGGUUAUCAAGGAGUCGAUCACAAUAACAAUUCCACCGCCA